Molecule: ribosomal RNA, 208 nt
Filed under: uncultured bacterium
Lineage: Bacteria
Description: partial 16S ribosomal RNA
Rfam family: Bacterial small subunit ribosomal RNA
Source: RNAcentral
GGAUUGUAGGCUGAAACUCGCCUACAUGAAGCUGGAGUUGCUAGUAAUCGCGAAUCAGCAUGUCGCGGUGAAUACGUUCCCGGGCCUUGUACACACCGCCCGUCACACCAUGAGAGUUGGCAAUACCCAACGUACGUGAUCUAACCCGCAAGGGAGGAAGCGUCCUAAGGUAGGGUCAGCGAUUGGGGUGAAGUCGUAACAAGGUACC